AUGUGGCUGUGUGUGCCAAGGCAAGCACACAGAUGUGGGGAAUGAUCCUGAGCUGCAUCCAACUGCCUGCCUCUGUUCAAGCUCUCCACUGGAAUAACACACCCCACAGGGCCCUGGAGCAGGUCUGCAGGAAGACACUGCCUCUCUGCAGGAACAGCCAUCCCUCUGGCAUUGAUUCCACACAGGCAGCUGAAACCCUGCAUGGUCAGGGAGCUUUACACCUUUCUUCCUGGGAUGACUGUGAAUCUUGCCUGUUCAGCACGCUGCCACAGAGAAUAUUGAUCUCUGCAGUUGUACCACAGUCAAUGACAGCUCCCUAGGAAACUUAGUUGGAGAAGUCUGCCCAACCAGAGGAAUCCAGGCAGGAAAAAUAACUAAAACAGUUAGGGAUUAAUCUAAAUUAAAUGUGUUUAUCCUCUUGCAUUAUAAACUUGGAGGAAAAUGAAGAGAUCCUGAGAUGUAAGAAGCAGUGACAUUUAGAAUCAGCAGCACCAUCUAUCACUGAAAUCAAAGUAAGCAUGAAUCUGGGGGAAUUAUUCCAUGACCAGUGAGUGGAUGGAUAAAUCUUCUCAAUAACACAUUCAGGGUCUCCCUAAUAAUACAGCACCCUGAUUUUCAGUUUAGGAAACAAAGGGAAUAUGCAAAAGGUAAAAGCUAUAGGUAAGCAUAAAUUCAGAUUACGAGUAAAAGGGAAAUUUGGAUUUUUCCCAUUGUCACAAC
This is a long non-coding RNA of Passer domesticus (house sparrow), 720 nucleotides long. RefSeq lists it as uncharacterized. NCBI's taxonomy places the organism in Eukaryota, Metazoa, Chordata, Aves, Passeriformes, Passeridae. The transcript is spliced from 3 exons. The record is from RefSeq and is a predicted model, not a curated record.